This 93-nucleotide small nucleolar RNA is filed under the name Dichanthelium oligosanthes. Its description in RNAcentral is "Small nucleolar RNA SNORD25". It matches the Rfam family "Small nucleolar RNA SNORD25". From Rfam's summary of the family: U25 is a member of the C/D class of snoRNA which contain the C (UGAUGA) and D (CUGA) box motifs. U25 is found in gene clusters in plants, and within the U22 snoRNA host gene (UHG) in mammals. Lineage: Eukaryota; Viridiplantae; Streptophyta; Magnoliopsida; Poales; Poaceae. The record is from Rfam by way of RNAcentral.
GGCAACAGUGAUGAGUCCUUGCACAGUUACAGACCUGUGGUGAUUCCUGCGGAAAUGAUUGCAUGAUUCAAAGAAUUAUAUGCUCUCGAUUUU